This 194-nucleotide ribosomal RNA is filed under the name uncultured Streptococcus sp. RNAcentral describes it as "partial 16S ribosomal RNA". It matches the Rfam family "Bacterial small subunit ribosomal RNA", at positions 1189 to 1381 of the family's 1533-position model. Lineage: Bacteria; Bacillati; Bacillota; Bacilli; Lactobacillales; Streptococcaceae. The record is from RNAcentral.
UACGUCAUGCCCCUUAUGACCUGGGCUACACACGUGCUACAAUGGUUGGUACAACGAGUUGCGAGUCGGUGACGGCGAGCUAAUCUCUUAAAGCCAAUCUCAGUUCGGAUUGUAGGCUGCAACUCGCCUACAUGAAGUCGGAAUCGCUAGUAAUCGCGGGUCAGCAUGCCGCGGUGAAUACGUUCCCGGGCCUC